UACGAGGGGGGCGAGCGUUGUUCGGAAUUAUUGGGCGUAAAGGGUGCGUAGGCGGUUUUGUAAGUCUUAUGUGAAAUCUAUGGGCUCAACUCAUAGACUGCAUGAGAAACUGCAGGGCUCGAGUAUGGGAGAGGUGAGUGGAAUUUCCGGUGUAGCGGUGAAAUGCGUAGAUAUCGGAAGGAACACCUGUGGCGAAAGCGGCUCACUGGACCAUAACUGACGCUGAAGCACGAAAGCUAGGGGAGCAAACAGG
This 253-nucleotide ribosomal RNA is filed under the name uncultured prokaryote. RNAcentral describes it as "partial 16S ribosomal RNA". It matches the Rfam family "Bacterial small subunit ribosomal RNA", at positions 524 to 776 of the family's 1533-position model. The record is from RNAcentral.